This is a small nucleolar RNA of Phodopus roborovskii (desert hamster), 136 nucleotides long. RefSeq annotates it as small nucleolar RNA SNORA67. The transcript has a single exon. NCBI's taxonomy places the organism in Eukaryota, Metazoa, Chordata, Mammalia, Rodentia, Cricetidae. The record is from RefSeq and is a predicted model, not a curated record.
GUCCAAGGUGAUUCCCUCUCCAAGGUAGAGUUCCCCUUUUAGGAAUGUAGCAAUUUGGAAGAAAACUUGGCAUGCCUGAGGUCUCUGGGGAACAAGAGAUGGUUGUUGCCUUUGCCUGCCUUGGCUGUUUACAUGU